GAGAGGCUUGAUUGAGAACCUACCCGACUAUCAGAGGACCUGUCCGGGAAGAGAAAUGGGGCUACGUCCAGGUAAUGCUACGAUGCUUAACGUCCCGAUGACGUCAUAGGUCAGCGCGCGCUGCCCUGGUCGCCCCCCAAGCCCAUAAAUGACCAUUUCCGGGGACCUCAGCGCUGGGUCCCCUUUCUCGGUUGCAGUCUCCAUCUCUAUAUUGGGACUCACUGGGUUAUCCUUCUGUGCCUCAGUUUCCUCCUCUGUAAACUGAAGAAACCCGUCUCAUGGAAUCUUUUGAAAAUAACCAGAUCAGCCAGGCGCGGUGGCUCACGCCUGUAAUUCCAGGACUUUGGGAGGCCGAGGCUGGCGGAUCACGAGGUCAGGAGUUCGAGACCAGCCUGACCAACAUGGUGAAACCCCGUUUCUACUAAAAAUACAAAAAUUAGUCGGGCGUGGUCGCUGGUGCCUGUAAACCCAGCUACUCAGGAGGUUGAGGCAGGAGAAUCGCUUGAACCUGGGAGGUGGAGGUUGCAGUGAGCCGAGAUUGCACCAAGUGUGAAUCAACCGUCCACUUUCUGCUAUUCUUUGUUAAAUAAAUACUUUUAAAUCCUUACUGGAUACCAAUGCUCUCCAACAGGACCUCCUACCACUACCCCUCUUUUGUCCUAUAUUUUGCCACAUAGGUAAAAUAUAAAAAUAGGUAAUAUAGAAAAUAAAACACAUACUGCUGUAUUGUCAGGUAGUGAUAGGAUUUAUCACUACCUGACAAUACAGUAUGUGUUUGUUUUAUAUAUUUAGGGUGUACAGCGUGUGUUUUGAUACACAUGUACCCAGUGAAAUAAUAAUUAUGACAGUUUUUUUUUUUUUUUUUGAGACGGAGUUUUGCUGUCGUUGCCCAGGCUGAAGUGCAAUGGUGUGCUCUCGGCUCACUGCAGCCUCUGCCUCCCGGGUUCAAGCGAUUCUCAUGCCUCAGCCUCCCGAAUAGCUGGGAUUACAGGCAUGCACCACCAUGCUUGGCUAAUUUUUUUGUAUUUUUAGUAGAGACGGGGUUUCUCCAUGUUGGUCAGGCUGAUCUCGAACUCCUGACCUCAGGUGAUUCGCCCACCUUGGCCUCCCAAAGUGCUGGGAUUACAGGCAUUUUCACCACACAUGGCCAAUUAUGAGAGUUAAGCAAUUAACCUAUCCAUUGCCUUCCAUAAUUAACUGUGUGUGUAGUGAGAGUAUCUAAAAUGUACUUUCUUGGCAAAUUUUCAAUAUACUAUGCAAAAUUAUUAACACAAAGUAUACGUUACUUUUUGUUUGUUUGUUUUGGCUGGCUGCGGUGGCUUAUGCCUAAAAACAUGCCCUUUGAGGAGGCUGAGGUGGGAGGAUCACUUGAGGCCAGGAGCUAGAGACCAGCCUAGGCAACAUGUCAAAACCCAGUCUCUCAAAAAAAAAAAAAAAAAAAGAAAAAAAGGAAAAAAAAGAGAAAAGGAAAAAAAAGAAAAGAACAACAACAAAAAUUAGCCAGAUGUGGUGCAUCAUGCCAGGGUCCCAGAUACUUGGGAGGCCAAGGCGGGAGGAUCAUUCGAGCCUGGGAAAUCGAGGCUGCAGUGAGCCAUGAUCACCCCACUGCACUCCAGCUUGGGUAACAGAGCAAGACCCUGUCUCAAAAAAAAAAAAGCCUUGCUUUCCUGACCCAUUGAUCUGUUUGUUUUUUGUCCUCUGUCAGCAGCAUAUCAGCCUGAUGACAUCAGGGACUGUAUCUGUCCCCAUCAUUGCUGUAAGUUCCCCACUGCUGAAUAAAUACGUUUAUUUAUUCAGUGGUGAAUAAUCUAAGCCUAGAGUCAAUGUACUAGUUAUUAGAGCAGAUGCCAUUAUCGCCUCUUGGAUCUCAUUCCCAGGGUGUUCAUUGGGCAUCUGUCAAAAAAACAAAAUUACAACACAUUUAGUUUAAAGAUCUUAAUUGAUUUUAUUUGCAAUUCUACAAUCGGGCAACACUUCAUUUCACAAAAUGAAACUAAUUUUCCCAUGAGCUGAGCAGGUAGGUUGGUUUUACAGGCAGAAAAAGGGCCAAGUAAAGCACAAACAGAAAAUAAAACGUGGAGGUCAGGUGCAGUGGCUCAUCCCAAAGUUACUUUUCUUGUAAAGGUUAAAGCAGAGAGGACAUCCUUAUCAUGAUGGCUAAAACUGACCUGGUGGGAGACUUGGCUAUCCCAUCUCUCUCUCUCCUGAUUUUGUAGAAGGUCAGAUAAACAACUUAGUUUCUUUUUGAUCACGUAAAACUUUAGCAUGAGUGACUCCAUUUUGGUUUAGUUUGUUGGGCCUGGUGUAGGAAGUCAGUCCAAAGUAAUAGCCUCCUAUAAGUUUUGUAUAACACAUCCUGUGUCCAGAUUGGUGGGUUCUUGGUCUUGCUGACUCCAAGAAUGAAGCCACAGACCCUCCGGUGAGUGUUACGGUUCUGAAAGAUGGUGUGUCCAGAGUUUGUUCCUUCUGAUAUUCAGACAUGUCUAGAGUUUCUUGCUUCUGGUGGGCUUUUGGUCUCGCUGACUUCAGGAGUGAAACUGCAGACCUUUGCGGUGAGUGUUACAGCUCAUAAAGGCAGUGCGCACCCAAAGAGUGAGCAGCAGCAGGAUUUACUGGGAAGAGUGAAAGAACAAAGUUUCCACAGCAUGGAAGGGGACCCAAGCACGUUGCCGCUGCUGGCUGCGGUGUCCUGCUUUUAUUCCCUUAUUUGGCCCCACCUACAUCCUGCUGAUUGGUCCAUUUUACAGAGAGCUGAUUGGUCCACUUUACAGAGUGCUGAUUGGUCCGUUUUACAGAGUGCUGAUUGGUCCGUUUUGACAGAGUGCUGAUUGGUGCAUUUACAAACCUUUAGCUAGACACAGAGUGCUGAUUGGUGCAUUUACAAUCCUUUAGCUAGACAGGAAAGUUCUCUAAGUCCCCUACGCGAUUAGUUAGACACAGAGCGCUGAUUGGUGCAUUUACAAACCUUUAGCUAGACACAGAGCGCUGAUUGGUGCAUUUGCAAUCCUUUAGCUAGACAGAAAAGUUCUCCAAGUCCCUACUCAACCAAGAAGCCCAGCCGGCUUCACCUCUCAAUCACCCCUCUAAACAGAACACCCCAACUGCUGUUGGGAAUUUGGCCGAUGACCACUCUAGCUACUUCCUGCUGGAAGAAGGGGCCCUGCAAUUGUAGUGUCCUCCAGAGGGGAACUCUUUAGGCCAGUGGAAGGGCCAGUGGGUCGGUCCAGGGGUCCUCAGUAGAAGUUGUUAGUUGAACUCAUUUGGGGUUCCAUUUUUAAGACCAUCUGUAGCUUGAUGGCCUCGAUUCUAGAAGAAACAAAUUUGACAAGAAGGUUAAAAAUGCAGGGCCCAAAGGUGAGUAAGAGCAAGAUGGCUGCCACAGGACCUAGGGGAGAAGCCAUGUUGCCCAACUCCAGAGGUUGGUAUUAGAGUUCGAAAGGCAUUGUCUGAUUUCAGAAGCCUUUUCCUGUAAAUGCCAGGUGGCAUCUCGUGCUAUCCCUGACUGUUUAGUGUAAAAACAACACUCUUCCCCUAAGAAGGUGCAGAGUCCUCCUUUCUCAGCAGUGAGGAGGUCUAGGCCUCAGUGGUUUUGGAGAGUUGCUGCUGCCAAAGAGUAUAUUUGGGAUUGUAGAGUAAGGAUAGAUUUUGUUAUUUCUUACAAACUGUCUGAGAAAUCCUUUGAAGGUGUAUGGUAGUAGAAUAAUGAAGUGGAUAAACUGGCUAUUCCGGUUCCUGUAGCAGUAGCCAUUCCUAACCCUAUAAGUAGGGAUAUUAGUUGUAUGGCCCUGCGCUGAUAGACUUGAGCUUUGAGGGGCACAGAUACGGUCUGAUUUCCAUAAGAUUAGAAGUUAGGAUAAUACAUGUUACACUGUUAACUUUUUUAGCAAACUUUACUUUUGUUGAAAACCUUGUAAGUUUGGGAUUUCAAUUAUUCUUUGCUAUUAGUAAGACCUUGUUCAGUCCAUAUUAACUUAGAAUUGGUAUAGAUGGCUGCUUCCUGAUUCUGUAAGUACUUUAAGAUUUGGCUGAGUGGAAACAACUGGCAUGUUUGAGCAGACCAAUUAUUAGGCAAUUUUCCUAACUCUGCAUCUACAAGAGUUUCCUUAUCACUUACUGAAUACCCAUUGUGUCUUUUUCCCUUAAUCGCCUGGGAGGAACCAUCUAUCAUCCUGUCCUGAAGGGAGUUCCUCCUAGAUCUGGUCAGACCUUUGUAUGGUAAUUAAUUAAGAUUUAGAUCUCCUGUUAGGAAACCUGCUGGGUUAAGGAUUUUUGAUAGGAAGGCUACAGGUUGUCAGUGGCCUCAGUGCUUUCCGGCUAUGCCCUUGUUUACACUGACAACAAGGUGGUAUUGGAGUGUUAUAAGGUUACAGAGAAGACCUUCAAUUAUCAAUUAUAGGUUUUAAAUUUACGCUAGGGUACACUUUUUUUUUUUUACUACUUCUAUCUCCUUUUCUCUUUGACUUCUUCUUUGUCUCUGUCUCUUCCUCUCUGUCUCCUUCUCUUUGUCUCUCUGUUUCUUCCUCUCUUCUCUCUUUCUCUGACUUCCUGUCUCUUUCUCUCUUUCCUUUCUGCUGGUCUUUCCCUGCCUCUGCUAGCCACUUAUGCUGCUGUUCUCCCCUCUUCUUCCCAUUUUUGAUGGCUUCGGCUGUGUAAGACUGCCACCUCCUUGGGUUUUUGCACUGUGUGCAAUAACUCCAUGGUUUCCUUGUGGUAUUUAAUGGGGGUUCCCCCAGAGGUUAGAAACUCCCUUUCUUUCCAUAUUGCGGCAUGGGCAUGUAGGAUUAGGUAAGCAUACUUGCUAUAUGUAUACACAUUUAUUCUUUUUCCGUUUCCCAGUUCUAAGGCUCAGGUAAGUGCCACUAGUUCUGCUAACUGGGCGCUGGUCCCUGGGGGAAGAGGCUUACUUUCAAGUACAGUUACAUCACUAACUAUGGCAUAACCUGCCCUUCAUAUCCCAUUCUCCACAAAUGAACUUCCAUCAGUAUAUAGGUUAAGGUCAAGAUUAGCUAAGGGGACUUCUAAGAGAUCCUCUUGGGCAGCAUAAUUCUGGGCUAUAAUUUGUUGGCAGUCAUGCUCAAUUGGUUCCUCAUACUCUGGGAGAAAAGUGGCAGGGUUGAGGGCCACACAUGUGCAUAUUUGAAGCACCAGCCCCUCAAGGAAUAGUGCCUGGUAUCUAAGUAGGCGAUUGUCUGAUAGCCAUAAACUUUCUUUAGCACCUAGGUUGCCAUUUACAUCAUGAGUAGUCCAGACAGUGAGAUCCUUUCCUUGUAUUAUUUUGAUAGCCUCUGACACUAAGACAGCCACUGCUGCAACUACCCAUAAGCAAUGAGGCCAGCCAUUUGCUACUACAUCAGUUUCCUUACUUAGGUAUGCCACUGGUUGUGGGGUUAUCCCAUGAGUCUGAGUAAGGACUCCAAGAGCUAUCCCUGCUCUCUCUGUGAUGUUUUGUCCUGUGGGAAGGCUUAAAGCUGGAGCUUGUACUAGGGCCUGCUUUAAGGUUUUGAAGGCUGUUUCUGCCCCUGGUUCCCAUUCUACUAGAUGAGUAUUUGCCCUCUGGGUCUCCUUGAUUAGAGUAUAGAGGGGCCUGGCUAUCUCGCUGUAUCUGGGGAUCCACAAUCAGCAAAAGCUGGUGAUUUCAAGGAACCCCUGCAACUGUUAAAUGUCUUAGGGUGAGGAUAAGCCAGUAUAGGCUGUAUUUGUUCCUUGCUGAGGGCCCUGAUUCCUCUGGCUAAGAUUAGGCCUAGAUAUUUGACCUGCUGUAGGCAAAGCUGGGCCUUCGACCUAGAUGCCUUGUACCCUUGAUUAGCUAGAAAGUUCAAGAGAUCUAGAGUAGCCUGCUGGCAUGAGGCUUCUGAACUAGUAGCCAAAAGUAAAUCAUCCACAUACUGAAGGACCAGAGCACCUGGAUUUGAGAAGUGGCCUAGAUCUUGAGCCAGUGCCUGACCAAACAGAUGAGGGCUAUCCCUAAACCCUUGGGGCAAGACCAUCCACGUAAGUUGGGACGUGUGGUCUGUGGGAUCCUCAAAGGCAAAGAGAAACUGAGAGUCAGAGUGCAGGGGAAUACAGAAGAAGGCAUCCUUGAGGUCCAGAACAGUGAACCAUUCUGCUUCCUCUGGUAUUUGAGAGAGCAGGGUAUAGGGGUUGGAUACAACUGGAUAUAGAAAAAUUAUUGCCUCAUCGAUGAGUCUAAGAUCUUGCACUAGUCUCCAUUGACCAUUUGGUUUUUGUACUCCUAGAAUUGGGGUGUUGCAGGGACUGCUGCAUUUCCUUACUAAGCCUUGAGCUUUUAAAUGUUUAACAAUAUCCUGUAAUCCUUUAUAAGCUUCAGGCUUUAAGGAAUAUUGCCUUUGAUAAGGAAAUGUGGUGGGAUCUUUUACCCUGAUUUGGACUGGGUGGGCAUUUUUUGCCCUUCCAAAUUGUCCUUCCAAUGCCCAGACUUCAGGCUUGAUUUCAUCCUCAAGUAGGGGACAACAAAUGGGAAACUUGUUCCCCAUAUUCAUGUAGAUAAUAGCUCCAGCUUUGGCUAAUAUAUCCCUCCCUAAUAAGGGUGUGGGACUUUCAGGCAUAACAAGAAAGGCAUGUGAAAAGAGCAAAGUCUCCCAAUUACAACUGAGGAGGUGGGAGAAAUACCUGGUUACAGGCUGUCCCAGGAUUCCUCAGAUGGUAACGGACCUGGAGGACAGCUGUUCAGGACAGGAAAUUAACACUGAGAAAGCCGCACCAGUGUCCAGGAGGAAGUCAAUUUCCUGGCUGUCAAUGGUUAAAGUUACCUGGGGCUCAGUGAGAGUGAUGACAUGAGCUGACACUUGCCCCAGGCACCCUCAGUCCUGUUGUUGGAUCAUCUGGUUGGGGGCUUCUGUCCCAGAGAAGCUUUGUCCUCUGGGGCAGUGUGCCUUCCAGUGAUUGCCUUGGCAUAGGGGACAUGGACAAGGGGGCAGCUUGUUUCUCAUUGGACAAUCUUUUUUAAAGUGUCCUUGCAAACCACACUGCUAACAAGCCAUACUGGAUGAUUGGCCUGCUCCAUUUUCUGUCCUCUCUGAACCACCAAGGUUUGUUUGUCUGAGGGCCAUGACUAAGUCUGCGGCCUUUCUCUGAUCUCACUUUUCCUUUUGGGCCUGUUCCUCUUGGUCCCUGUUAUAGAACAGUGAGGUUGCCAGGUUUAAUAAUGCCUCUAGAUUUUGUUCAGGGCACAGGGCUCACUUUUGGAGCUUUCUCCUGAUAUCUGUGGCUGAUUGGAUAAUAAACUUAUCUUUUAGGAUCAAUUGACCCUUGAGUGAUUUGGGUGACAGGGGAGUAUAUUUUCUUAAGGCCUUCUGUAGCCACUCGAGGAAGGCAGAAGGAUUUUCUUCCUUUCCCUGAGUUAUGGUGGACAUCAGUGAAUAAUUCAUGGGCUUCUUCCUAAUUAUCCUUAGUCCUUCUAGAACAUAGGUCAACAGAUGUUUAUGACUCCAGUCCCCAUGAUCUGAAUUGAAGUCCCAGUGGGGAUCCAUACUGGGGAUGGCUUGCUGACCAGUAGGGAAUUUGUCCCUUUCUUCAGCUGUCAUUCUAUCAUUUACUUAACUAAGAUACCAGGUACCUCCAAAGUCUUGGGCUGCAGCUAAAGCUGCAUUAUUUUCAUUAAAGGCCAGGGUUUGAUCUAACAAUAGCAUGACAUCUCUCCAAGUGAGAUUGAAGAUUUGCCCUAGACCCUGUAGGACAUCUAUGUACCUAUCAGGAUCAUCUGAAAACUUCCCCAGGUGUGCCUUGAUCUGCUUUAAAUCAGAGAGGGAGAAGUAGACAUGUACCCAUGUUAGGCCAAAUUCCCCUCCCGCUACAAUUUGAAGGGGACAUAACCGACAGCCCAGGGGAGUUUUGUGGUCCUUUGGAGAUUUCUUUGCUUAUUUCCUUCUGGGCAGGGGAGAUUAGAGGAGGCUUGUCACUAAUACGAAGGGGAGCUGUAGGGAGGCUAGGAUAUGGGGGUAAGCUGAAAGGUUCUCCUGUGGGAUGUAAAUUGCAACCUUUGCAUAGAUGUGUAUUCUCCUUUAAUGAAAGGAAAGCUUGGACAUAACUAUUUCACUCCAUUUGCCUUUCUCUUACAGAAAAGGUCAAGCUGCAGGAUAGUAUUGUAAUUUGUACUUCCCUCAGAUGGCCAUUUUUCCCCAUCAGAGAGAGAAUAUUGGGGCCAGGCCACAGUGCAGAAAAAAAUGAGCUGCCUCUUUUUCAGGGUUUGCAGGUCAGACUGGUCCCAAUGGCCUAGGAUGCAUUUCAAGGGUGAGCCUGUUGAUGCCUGUUUCCCAUCUGAAAGACAAAACCACCCACGAUUUUGGUGUGUUUUUCUUCUCCCCCUGCCCAAGAAUCCACAAUGGUCCUUGGGCCCUGCUGAUCGGAAUAGUUGCGCUCACUGAUGCAGCAGCAGAAACAACCCCUGCCCAAGAACCCGUAAUGGUCACUAGACCCUGCUGAUUGGAAUAGUUGCACUCACCAACGCAGCAGCAGAAACAGUAGCUUUCCUCCCAGACCACAAGGAGAACCGAGGAAGGUCGGAUUUAGUGGCCCUUACCAACGCAUUCUCAAAAAACCUGCACCCUUGCCUGUCCUCCUAGACCACAAAGAUGACCGAGAAAAAUUGGAUUUAGUGGCCCUUACCAACACAUUCUCGAAAACCUGUUACAGUCCUAAGCAUUCUCCUUUUAGUAUUGGGACCUUACCAAUUUCCUACAAUGAUGUUAUGCCCCAAAAAUGAAGUGGAGGGCCAUACCAUGAGGGAAGGAAGGGAUCUCCAGGGUUGGAAGAGUGACACCUUUUGUCCUCACUUAUAUGAAUAGGAAGAAUACAAUUUCUGAGGCUCCCCAUAUCCUAGCUUCAGGAAUAGCUUUUAUUAGUCCUGCUUGUCUGAGGAGGGAUCCUAAAAUUCCAGAUAGCCCCCCUACAACAGGGCUUUGGGCAAAAAUUAUGUCUUUCUGAUUAGUGAGCCUAGGUGCCUAAAGAAGGUAACAGAGUCCUGAAGUUUAUACUAGAAGUCAUUCUUAUAGGAGAAACUAGAAAAGCACCAGAGACAGGGAGUGGUUUUUAGAGGUGGGACUAGCCUCGGAGAAGAGAGGCGAGAGGAAGUUUGUCUGACAGGCAUUAGGACCCAGGAGGCAAGGGUCAGGACAGAUAGGAUAGAUGGGCGAGUCUCACUUGGGCGACAUGACUUUGAGAGUUCUGCUCAUGGCCACAGGAUCAACCAACUUGUUGUCAAGACCCCAGAGCUGAAUGGCUUUCCUGUCAACCCUCGACUCAGCCCAGAAGUACAGGAAAAGCGGAAGCUGGUUCCAGGCAAACUAACGCUCCCAACUCCAAAAAGUCGGGGUUUGUUAGAGAGCCCCUUCCCAGAAAGCCUCACACCCAUGUCUUUAGUCCAGCACCUGCGCUAGUCGCUUUUAACUGGCCGACAGGUGCCCGGUAUUUAGCCCCCAAAUUCUAAGGAAAAAUAGGACGAAUAGCAAGCGAAAGGGGUCCGAUGGUACUCACCGCUUGGUGAUAGGCGAUAGUCUCACCGCUUGGUGAUAGGCGAUAGUCCCUUCGUGGUCGCCAAAAUGUGUCCAGUAUUGGUGGGUUCUUGGUCUCACUGACUUCAAGAAUGAAGCUGUGGACCCUCACGGUGAGUGUUACAGUUCUUAAAGAUGGUGUGUCUGGAGUUUGUUCCUUCUGAUGUUUGGAUGUGUCUGGAGUUUAUUCCUUCUGGUAGGUUCGUGGUCUCGCUGACUUCAGGAGUGAAGCUGCAGAUCUUUGCGGUGAGUGUUACAGCUCAUAAAGGUGGUGCGGACCCAAAGAGUGAGCAGCAGCAAGAUUUAUUGCGAAGAGUGAAAGAACAGAGCUUCUACAGCGUGGAAGGGAACCUGAGUGGGUUGCUGCUGCUGGCUCGGGUGGCCUUUUAUUCCCUUAUUUGGCCCCACCCACAUCCUGCUGAUUGGUCUAUUUUACAGAGAGCUGAUUGGUCCAUUUUACAGAGUGCUGAUUGUUCCGUUUUAGAGUGCUGAUUUGUCCAUUUUGACAGAGUGCUGAUUGGUGCAUUUACAAAACUUUAGCUAGACACAAAGUGCUGAUUGGUGCAUUUACAAUCCUUUAGCUAGACAGAAAAUUCUCCAAGUCCCCUACCUGAUUAGCUAGACACAGAGCGCUGAUUGGUGCAUUUACAAACCUUUAGCUAGACACAGAGUGCUGAUUGGUGCAUUUACAAUCCUUUAGCUAGACACAGAGUGCUGAUUGGUACGUUUACAAUCCUUUAGCUAGACAGAAAAGUUCAAGUCCCCACCCGACCCAGAAGCCUAGCCGGCUUCACCUCUCAAUCCCAUAAACAAAUUUGACUCCUUCCCCAUAUCCACUCCCCCUCUUGUGUCUCCAUCCUUCCUUCCCUCCCUCCCAUCAAACCCAGAGGACAUGGACUUCUGUCUCAUCUUCUCCUCUCUGCCUCCCUCCCUCUAUCAUCCUCAGUUGCCUUAUUCUGUCUCUCCUCCCUCUGAAAUUUCUCUUGAUUCUUUUUUUUUUUUUUUGAGGCAGGGUCUCACUCUGUUGCCCAGGCUGGAGUGCAGUGGCAUGAUCUCGGCUCACUGCACCCUCUGCCUCCCGAGUCCAAGCAAUUCUCUGCCUUAGCCUCUCAAGUAGCUGGGAUUACAGGCGCCCACCACCACACCUGGCUAAUUUUUUUGUAUUUUUAGUAGAGAUGGGGUUUCACUAUCUUGGCCAGGCUGGUCUUGAACUCCUAACCUCAUGAUCCACCCGCCUUGGCCUCCCAAAGUGCUGGGAUUAUAGGCAUGAGCCACUGCACCCGGACUUUUUAAAAAUUUAUCGUAGAGAUGAGGUCUUGCUGUGUUGCGUAGGCUGGUCUCAAACUCCAAGGUCCUCCAGCCUCAGCCUCCCAAAGAGCUGGGAUUACAGUCGCGAGGCACUGGACCCAGCCUGUGAUGAAUAUUAAUGCCUUAUUAAUUCUUUACCACCCCCUCCCCACACCAUGAGGCCAGGAAGGGAUGGUGGCAUGGAGGGGUGGGGUGUCAAAACCAUCCCCAUUUUCCAAAUGCAGGAACUGGGGCCAGUGAGCUCCUGUGGUCCAGGAGAGGGAUGUGAUUUACAGCUGCAGCUCUGGAGUUUAACAGGUCCAGGUUCACAUCCCAGCUUCCUGGCCCCUUGUUAGUUUCCUGCCAUGGUGUUUUUCUUUUCUUUCUUUUUUUCUUUCUUUUUUGAGACAGAGUCUUGCUCUGUCACCCAGGCUGGAGUGCAGUGGUGCAAUCUCAGCUCACUGCAACCUCCGCCUCCCAGGUUCAAGUGAUUCUCCUGCCUUAGCCUCCCGAAUAGCUGGGACUACGGGCAUGUGCCACCAUGCCUGGCUAAUUUUUUGUAUUUUUAGUAGAGACGGGGUUUCACCGUGUCAGCCAGUAUGGUCUUGAUCUCCUGACCUUGUGAUCUACCCACCUCAGCCUCCCAGAGUGCGGGGAGUGUAGGAGUGCGCCACCGUGCCCAGGUGGUGGUUUUUUUUUUUUUUUUUCUGUCGUUCCCCAGGUUGGAGGGGCAGGAAAUGCUUUGAGGUCAAGGUGGCUGCAGGAAAAAGGAUGACAUUGAAGAGAUGAGCCCAUCAUUGGCAGAGCCUGGAAAUGAAGAGGGUGUGGCUAGAGGAACCCCCUCUCCUGCAGACUGGACUCACCACCAGCUCCAGUGACAGUGGGCUCAGAGGAGAUCCUCUAAGCCUGCUCAGUACAGGACACAGGCAAACAAGGAACCUGGAGAGGGCAGCCUCUAGCCUCCCUGGCCUGGCAGCUGUAGGACCUACCUCUACAAAGCUAAAAAGUUUGUCACCUAUACCCAGCCACAGCCCCAGGGAAACAGCUGUGUCCCCAGCACCUGCCAGGAAGGGUCAAGACAAGGAAAUCACAGAUAUUUUUUCUUCUAGCGCAAGAACCCCCACCACCUCCCCAAGAGACAUCUAUAAGGAAUAUUUGGAGGGAGAUACUGGGGCAAAAAUAAAUUAACAGGCCGGGCACAGUGGCUUGCGCCUGUAAUCCCACCAGUUUCGGAGGCCGAGGCGGGCAGAUCACUUGAGGUCAGGAGUUUGAGACCAGCCUGGCCAAACCCAUCUAUACUAAAAAUACAAAAAUUAGCUGGGUGCAGUGGGAGGCGCCUGUAAUCUCAGCUACUCGGGAGGCCGAGGCAGGAGAAUCGCUUGAACCCGGGAGGUGGAGGUUGCAGUAAGCUGAGAUCGCACUACCGCGCUCCAGCCUGGGUGACAGAGUGAGACUCUUGUCUCGGAAAAAAAAAAAAAAAAAAUUAACAGCAGCUGGGGUUCAGAAAAUGGACAGAUGUGGUUUUCCUCAAAUACAUGUCCUAGAUGUAGGGUAUCCAAUUAUUACAAUUUUUAUUUUAUUUCAUAUUUAUUUAUUUAUUUUUUAGACAGAAUCUCGCUCUGUUGCCUGGGCUGGAGUGCAGUGGCACUGUAUCCGGAAUUGGGGGGUUCUUGGUCUCACUGACUUCAAGAAUGAAGCCAUGGACCCUUGCGGUAAGUGUUCCAGCUCUUAAGGUGGCGCGUCUGGAGUUUGUUUCUUCUGAUGUUCAGGUGUGUUCAGCGUUUCUUCCUUCUGGUGGGUUCAUGGUUUCACUGGCUCAGGAGUGAAGCUGCAGACCUUCGCAGUGAGUGUUACAGCUCAUAAAAGCAGUGGGGACCCAAAGAGUGAGCAGUACAAGAUUUAUUGCAAAGAGCAAAAGAACAAAGCUUCCACAGUGUGGAAGGGGACCCAAGUGGGUUGCCACUGCUGGCUCGGGCAGCCUGCUUUUAUUCUCUUAUCUGGCCCCACCCACAUCCUGCUGAUUGGUAGAGCCCACUGGUCUGUUUUGACAGGGCGCUGAUUGGUGCGUUUACAAUUCCUGAGCUAGACACAAAGGUUCUCCACAUCCCCACCAGAUUAACUAGAUACAGAGUGUCAACACAAAGGUUCUCCAAGGCCCCACCACAGUAGCUAGAUACAGAGUGUCGAUUGGUGCAUUCACAAACCCUGAGCUAGACACAGGGUGCUGAUUGGUGUGUUUACAAACCUUGAGCUAGAUACAGAGUGCCGAUUGGUGUAUUUACAAUCCCUGAGCUAGACAUAAAGGUUCUCCAAGGCCCCACCAGAGUAGCUAGAUACAGAGUGUUCAUUGGUGCAUUCACAAACCCUGAGCUAGACAUAGGGUGAUGAUUGGUGUAUUUACAAUCCCUGAGCUAGACAAAGGUUCUCCACGUCCCCACCAGACUCAGGAGCCCAGCUAGCUUCACCCAGUGGAUCCUGCACCGGGGCUGCAGGUGGAGCUGCCUGCCAGUCCCACGCCGUGCGCCUGCACUCCUCAGCCCUUGGGUGGUGGAUGGGACUGGGCACCAUGGAGCAUGGGGCAGUGCUCGUCAGGGAGGCGCGGGCCGCACAGGAGCCCAUGGAGGGGGUGGGAGGCUCAGGCAUGGCGGGCUGCAGGUCCCGAUCCCUGCCCCGCGGGAAGGCAGCUAAGGCCUGGUGAGAAAUCAAGCGCAGCGCCGGUGCGCUGGCACUGCUGGGGGACCCAGUACACCCUCCGCAGCCGCUGUCCGGCCCGGGUGCUAAGCCCCUCAUUGCCCGGGGCCAGCAGGGCCGGACGGCUGCUCUGAGUGCAGGGUCCGCCAAGCCCACGCCCACCCGGAACUCCAGCUGGCCCACAAGCACCGCGCGCAGCCCCGAUUCCGGCUCGCGCCUCUCCCUCCACACUUCCCUGCAAGCUGAGGGAGCCAGCUCCGGCCUUGGCCAGCCCAGAAAGGGGCUCCCACAGUGCAGCGGUGGGCUGAAGGGCUCCUGAAGUGCCGCCACAGUGGGAGCCCAGGCAGAGGAGUCGCAGAGAGUGAGCGAGGGCUGUGAGGACUGCCAGCACGCUGUCACCUCUCAGCGCCAUCUCGGCUCACUGCAACCUCCACCUCCUGGGUUCAAGCAAUUCUCCGGCCUCAGCCUCCUGAGUAGCUGGGAUUAUAGGUGCGCAUCACUAUGCCCAGCUAAUUUUUGUAUUUUUAGUAGAAAUGAGGUUUCACCACAUUGGCCAGGCCAGACCAGCCUGGACAAUAGAGUGAGACCCUAUAUAGGGAUCUCACUAUAUAGAGCAAUACAGCGGGAUCACCCGACCUCGGGUGAUCCGCUCGUUGGCCUCCCAAAGUGCUAGUGUUACAAGUGUGAGCCAAUGCGCCCAGCCCUAUUCUUUUUUUUUUUUUUUUUUUUUUUGAAAUCAAGUCUUGCUCUGUCACCCAGGCUGGAGUGCAGUGGCAUGAUCUCUGCUCACCGCAACCUCCACCUCCCGAGUUCAAGUGAUUCUCCUGCCUCAGCCUCCUGAGUAGCUGGGAUUACAGGCACCCGCCACCACACCCGGCUAAUUUUUGUAUUUUUAGUAGAGACGGGGUUUCACCAUGUUGGUCAGGCGGGCCUGGAACUCGUAAUGUCAGAUGAUCCACCUGCCUCGGCCUCCUAAAGUGCUGGGAUUACAGGCAUGAGCGACCACGCCAUCUUUUUUUUUUUUUUUUAACAAAACACAGAUGUAGAAUUAGAGCCUUCAGGGGUGGGUGCAGUGGCGCUCACACCUUUAAUCCCAUCACUUUGUGAAGCCAAGGCAGGAGGAUCCCUUGAGUCUCGGUGUUUGAGACCAGCCUGGACAAUAGAAUGAGACCCUGCCUCUACGAAAAAAAAAUUAUUUUUGUUUUGAGAUGGAGUCUUGCUCUGUUGCCCAGGCUGGAGUGCAGUGGCGCAAUCUCGGCUUAUUUGCAGCCUCUGCCUCCUUGGCUCAAGUGAUUCUUCUGCGUCAGCCUCUAGAGUAGCUGGGACUACAGACGUGCACCACCAUGCUCGGCUAAUUUUUGUAUUUUUUUGUAGAGAUGGGGGUUCCACCAUGUUGGCCCGGCUGGUCUCGAACUGCUGACCUCAAGUGACCUGCCUGUCUCGGCCUCACAAAUGGCUGGGAUUACAGGCACGAGACACCGUGCCUGGCCCUGGGAACAUGUUUACAUGGACUUUGUUCACUUUUUAAAACAAACUGAGGGUAACUUACUAGAUCUGUGAACUAAAGAAAGAGAAAAAAAAGAAAGAAAACAAACAAGAACAAAGAACAAAGUGUUCUGAGGUUGCUUUUAUUCCAAGAACUCUGUGAGCUCCCACCAGCACCAUGAGGGCGCUCUCG
This 15165-nucleotide long non-coding RNA is filed under the name Homo sapiens (human). RNAcentral describes it as "non-protein coding RAB11B-AS1:13". Lineage: Eukaryota; Metazoa; Chordata; Mammalia; Primates; Hominidae. The record is from RNAcentral.